Delphinapterus leucas (beluga whale) is the source of this 857-nucleotide non-coding RNA. Lineage: Eukaryota; Metazoa; Chordata; Mammalia; Artiodactyla; Monodontidae. The record is from RefSeq and is a predicted model, not a curated record.
CAUGGCCUCAUAGCAGUAUUCGCAGACAAAAAACUGCACAGCUUUGAGUUCAAUACCUACAAAAUCUAAAACUCCUUGGACUAAACUUUGAAAAUAAUUGUUCCAGUGACAAAGCAACCAGAUUAUUUGGUUCAAUAUCUUUGCUUUUGCAAGAACUCAGUGAUUUUGACUAAGUUCCAUCAAUACUGUAAUUCUCAGAUUUUAUACUAGAAAUGUUAUUUGUGUGUGAAGCAAUUUCGUUUUCUAAUAAUCUUUUAAUAUUCCCAUUGUUCCUAUAGGAAAAAAAAAACCUUCAGCCAAAAACAUUCUAAAACAUCUUAAGUAGUCACAAUUACGUCAGGACUGACAAAAGAGGACCACAGUGGCUAAGAAACAUCCACAACUGAACUGAAAUAUUACAUCACAGCUAAACAAAUAUGUUAUUCUAUCUCCCAGGACCUACAACUCGCAAUCUGAUAUACGUACAAAACAGCCAAUUGUGGAAGAGAAUCUCUCCUAUUCAACUCAGAGACUUUCAAGAACAUGUGUCUGGAGAAUAUUUUAGAAACAUGAGACAUGACUGUACUUAAAAUAUGACAGUUUACUGUUAAGAAGAGAGAUCCAUAACCUUGGUCCUUUUUUUCCUGGAUGAAGUCAGGAAAAUGCCAGUCUAAGUCUUAUCAAACAAGUUGUAGAUGGUGAAUUAAGUUACCAUAAAUUUCUGUUUGGUGCUGGGAAAAAAGAAAAAGAUCCUGGAUGUUUGGAGGGGGUUUGUUUGUUUGUUUGUUUUCACCUCAAAAUGAUCAAAACUUGCUCUGGCGUGUCAUUUCUAGUCAAAGUUAGUGUUUUUGAAUGAUAAAUGUGAAGAAACUUGAGGU